RNAcentral lists this small nuclear RNA (329 nucleotides) under Ochotona princeps (American pika). RNAcentral's name for it is "7SK RNA (ENSOPRG00000020004.1)". It matches the Rfam family "7SK RNA". Rfam says of the family: 7SK was discovered as an abundant small nuclear RNA in the mid-70s but a possible function has only recently been suggested. Two independent studies have found that 7SK RNA binds the CDK9/cyclin T complex (known as elongation factor P-TEFb). P-TEFb activates transcription by phosphorylating the C-terminal domain of RNA polymerase II. The record is from RNAcentral. Lineage: Eukaryota; Metazoa; Chordata; Mammalia; Lagomorpha; Ochotonidae.
GGAUGUGAGGGCGAUCUGGCUGCUACAUCUGUCACCCCGUUGAUCGCCAGGGUUGAUUCGGCUGAUGUGGCUGGCUAGGCGGGUGUCCCCUUCCUCCCUCACCGCUCCAUGUGCAUCCCUGCCGAAGCUGUGCACUCCAUCAAAGAGGACGACCAUCCCCGCUAGAGAAGGACCGGUCUUCGGUCAAGGGCAUACGAGUAGCUGCGCUCGCCUGCUAGAACCUCCAAACAAGCUCUCAUAGUUAAGAAAUUCUUGUACUAUAAAUGAUUAUAUGCAUUAUAAUUUUAUUUUUCAUCAUAUUGACCCACACUAGAUGAAUAAAAUCCAUU